Neopelma chrysocephalum (saffron-crested tyrant-manakin) is the source of this 392-nucleotide long non-coding RNA. RefSeq lists it as uncharacterized. The transcript is spliced from 3 exons. The record is from RefSeq and is a predicted model, not a curated record. Lineage: Eukaryota; Metazoa; Chordata; Aves; Passeriformes; Pipridae.
GACAAGGUGGUGAUGGGUCACAGGUUGGACCCGAUGGUCCUGGAGGUAUUUUCCAACCUCAGUGAUUCUGUGAAUCUGUGAUUUUACAUCUUCCUGCAAAGAUACAGGAUUUGUCACCAUUUCUCAGCUCCUUGGCAACAUGGCUCUGCCUGGGAAAAAAAGUUACUCCUUAAUGAAUCAUCUUUGUUAACUGACUAGGAGAUGUCCUGUUUCAUUCAAACUCAGGAUAUUCUGUGAUUCCAUGAACCCCAGGUGCCCAGGCUGUGCUCGGUGACAGAUGAGGAGCCGCUGUGACAUCGCUGCAGCUGCCACAGCCUGUGCUGUGGUUUGGCUGCUCGUGGGCUGUCUAGACAAGCCUUCGAGAGAGCCAUGUUCUUCUGGUUCCCAUUUGA